GAACUGCGAUAAGUAAUGUGAAUUGCAGAAUUCAGUGAAUCAUCGAGUCUUUGAACGCACAUUGCGCCCCCUGGCAUUCCGGGGGGCAUGCCUGUCCGAGCGUCAUUGCUGCCCUUCAAGCCCGGCUUGUGUGUUGGGUCGUCGUCCCCUCCGGGGGACGGGCCCGAAAGGCAGCGGCGGCACCGCGUCCGGUCCUCGAGCGUAUGGGGCUUUGUCACCCGCUCGAUAAGGACCGGCCGGGCGCCAGCCGGCGUCUCCAACCUUUUUUUCUCAGGUUGACCUCGGAUCAGGUAGGGAUACCCGCUGAACUUACGC
RNAcentral lists this unclassified non-coding RNA (315 nucleotides) under plant metagenome. RNAcentral's name for it is "partial contains 5.8S ribosomal RNA, internal transcribed spacer 2, and large subunit ribosomal RNA". The stretch from base 1 to 105 matches the Rfam family "5.8S ribosomal RNA", at positions 50 to 154 of the family's 154-position model. The record is from RNAcentral.